AACGCAUAUGGCACCUCUUGGUUCCUACUAAGAGGUAUGCCUGUUUGAGAAUCAUUCAUCCCUUUGAUCCACUGGGUCAGACAUGGUUGCUGAUCCGUGUUGGUCAAGACAUGGACCUUCAUCACUGAUCGUCUUGAAUUCAGGCGCGGGUUGUUCGUGAGAGUGGAAGCUAUUUCUAUUGAUCGAACAAUCUGCUCAUCUCAUCACUUCAAUGAUCUCAAAUCAGGCAAGACUACCCGCUGAACUUAA
RNAcentral lists this unclassified non-coding RNA (249 nucleotides) under uncultured fungus. RNAcentral's name for it is "partial contains 5.8S ribosomal RNA, internal transcribed spacer 2, and large subunit ribosomal RNA". The record is from RNAcentral. Lineage: Eukaryota; Fungi.